Molecule: long non-coding RNA, 193 nt
Organism: Papaver somniferum (opium poppy)
Lineage: Eukaryota; Viridiplantae; Streptophyta; Magnoliopsida; Ranunculales; Papaveraceae
Exons: 3
Source: RefSeq, a predicted model, not a curated record
AUUAUUUGAGAAGGUGGUCAUAAGAAGAAGCAAAUGUGAACCUGUGUUUCAUGUUACAAAACAAGUAGCAGCUAAGAAGGAAAAACCAGAAUCUUGCUGCUCUGAAUCGGAUUUGAUAGUGAUUCCGAGAAACUGCUGCUACAUCUAAAAAGGUUGCAGCUCCUUUAACUAAGAAUGGAAAUUUCAAGAAGAA